CUGUUGUUAAAAGCGCCAGAACUGCAGGGUGAUGCAGUUGACGAGGUGGAGGAUGAUCGAGUGUUCGGCGGAUGCCUCCCGGUAAUGCGUCAGUACCGUGGAAUCGUAAUACAAACCGAUUGGGUGACUGAUCGAGCAAAGAUUACGAUAUGACGUAAU
RNAcentral lists this non-coding RNA (159 nucleotides) under Thermoactinomyces sp. RNAcentral's name for it is "GlcN6P sequence". It matches the Rfam family "glmS glucosamine-6-phosphate activated ribozyme aptamer". From Rfam's summary of the family: This entry contains a glucosamine-6-phosphate activated ribozyme that is found in the mRNA for GlmS. GlmS is an enzyme that uses fructose-6-phosphate and glutamine to generate glucosamine-6-phosphate. Lineage: Bacteria; Bacillati; Bacillota; Bacilli; Caryophanales; Thermoactinomycetaceae. The record is from RNAcentral.